UACGUAGGGACCAAGCGUUGUUCGGAUUUACUGGGCGUAAAGGGCGCGUAGGCGGCGUGACAAGUCACUUGUGAAAUCUCUGAGCUUAACUCAGAACGGCCAAGUGAUACUGCUGUGCUAGAGUGCAGAAGGGGCAAUCGGAAUUCUUGGUGUAGCGGUGAAAUGCGUAGAUAUCAAGAGGAACACCUGAGGUGAAGACGGGUUGCUGGGCUGACACUGACGCUGAGGCGCGAAAGCCAGGGGAGCAAACGGG
Molecule: ribosomal RNA, 253 nt
Filed under: uncultured bacterium
Lineage: Bacteria
Description: partial 16S ribosomal RNA
Rfam family: Bacterial small subunit ribosomal RNA
Source: RNAcentral